RNAcentral lists this ribosomal RNA (478 nucleotides) under uncultured bacterium. RNAcentral describes it as "partial 16S ribosomal RNA". It matches the Rfam family "Bacterial small subunit ribosomal RNA", at positions 28 to 523 of the family's 1533-position model. The record is from RNAcentral.
GACGAACGCUGGCGGCGUGCUUAGCACAUGCAAGUCGAACGGUAAGGCCCUUCGGGGUACACGAGUGGCGAACGGGUGAGUAACACGUGGGUGAUCUGCCCUGCACUUCGGGAUAAGCCUGGGAAACUGGGUCUAAUACCGGAUAGGACCACUGCCUGCAUGGGUGGUGGUGGAAAGCUUUUGUGGUGUGGGAUGGGCCCGCGGCCUAUCAGCUUGUUGGUGGGGUGAUGGCCUACCAAGGCGACGACGGGUAGCCGGCCUGAGAGGGUGACCGGCCACACUGGGACUGAGAUACGGCCCAGACUCCUACGGGAGGCAGCAGUGGGGAAUAUUGCACAAUGGGCGCAAGCCUGAUGCAGCGACGCCGCGUGAGGGAUGACGGCCUUCGGGUUGUAAAUCUCUUUCAGCACCGACGAAGCGCAAGUGACGGUAGGUGCAGAAGAAGGACCGGCCAACUACGUGCCAGCAGCCGCGGUAA